UAUCUCUGUAGAGUCUGCAUAUCAAUAAGCGGAGGAAAAGAAACUAACUAGGAUUCCCUCAGUAACGGCGAGUGAAGCGGGAAGAGCUCAAACUUGAAAUCUUCAAGGUUCUACCUUGACGAAUUGUAGUUUAAAGAAGUGUUUUCUGUUGGAGUUUCGGUAAAAGUUCUUUGGAAUAGGACAUCAUAGAGGGUGAGAAUCCCGUAUUUGACCAGUUACUUUCCAGCUGUGUGAUACACUUUCAAAGAGUCGGAUUGUUUGGGAAUACAGUCCAAGAUGGGUGGUAAAUUUCAUCUAAAGCUAAAUAUUGGCGAGAGACCGAUAGCGAACAAGUACCGUGAGGGAAAGAUGAAAAGAACUUUGAAAAGAGAGUUAAACAGUACGUGAAAUUGUCGAAAGGGAAGCGUUUGACACCAGUGUUGUUUUUCUCGAAAAUCAAUUAAGAAUGGCAUGAUUUUGUGUUGUAUUGACCUUAUCAGCUUUCUGCACUCUUUUCUUGAGUCUUUUUUAAUGCACUUUUCGGUUAACAAGUCAACAUCAAUUUCUUUUGUUGUAAAAGGGUCAUUGGAAGGUGGCUUUCUUUUCGGAGAAAGUGUUUAUAGCCUUAUGCCUCUACAAUCGGAGAGAUUGAGGUCUGCAGCGUAGAUCCUUCGGGGUUAGAUACACUUGUGCUAAGUUGUAGCCUUUUCAUAGACAACUUGUUGACUAUGAUCAGUCAUGUAGGCUUACUCGCUUAGUGCUAUUUUACCUACGCUUAGGAUGUUGAAGAUGUAGCACAUCAU
Molecule: ribosomal RNA, 782 nt
Filed under: uncultured Neocallimastigales
Lineage: Eukaryota; Fungi; Neocallimastigomycota; Neocallimastigomycetes; Neocallimastigales
Description: partial large subunit ribosomal RNA
Rfam family: Eukaryotic large subunit ribosomal RNA
Source: RNAcentral